AUUGCUAGUUUUUGGUGGGGAGAUGAUGAAGAGAAAAAGAAAAUGCAUUAGUUUGCCUGGCGGAGGUUGUGCAUACCAAAGAAGGAGGGGGGAUUGGGUUUUAGGGACUUGCACAGUUUUAACCUUGCUCUAUUAGCAAAACAGUGCUGGCGACUAAUCCAGAACCCGGAGUCUUUGUGUGCUCAAGUUUUGAAGGCAAAAUAUUAUCCAGAUGGGGACAUUCUGAAGGCUGGCCCCAAGAGGGGAUCUUCUUACACGUGGCAAAGUAUUGUUGCGGGUAUUCAAACGUUCAAGAGGGGUUGCAUUUGGCGAGUUGGAACUGGAUCUAACAUCAGUAUUUGGAAUGAUCCUUGGAUACCA
Molecule: ribosomal RNA, 360 nt
Filed under: Triticum aestivum (bread wheat)
Lineage: Eukaryota; Viridiplantae; Streptophyta; Magnoliopsida; Poales; Poaceae
Description: partial small subunit ribosomal RNA
Source: RNAcentral